UUAACUCAAAUUUGUAUGGAGUUAGAACAGUCUCUCGUUUGCCGCUAGGGGCGCUAUUCCAACUCCAUACAAAUUUCAGUUU
Bombyx mori (domestic silkworm) is the source of this 82-nucleotide non-coding RNA. The record is from Rfam. NCBI's taxonomy places the organism in Eukaryota, Metazoa, Arthropoda, Insecta, Lepidoptera, Bombycidae.